UAUGUUAAAUCUGCCAGAACUGAGGAAUGUUCUCUAGCAUCAGGUGGCAUCGACUUUCACCCUCUUCUGCAACAAGUUGAUGGAGGAAAGAGUAACUCUGUAGUGCCUCCCUCUAAUAUCUACCAAUCUGUUUCCCUGGGUGACAAACCUCGGCAAUAUCCCUCUAAUAUCUACCAAUCUGUUUCCCUGGGUGACAAACCUCGGCAAUAUCCCUCUAAUAUCUACCAAUCUGUUUCCCUGGGUGACAAACCUCGGCAAUAUCCCUCUAAUAUCUACCAAUCUGUUUCCCUGGGUGACAAACCUCGGCAAUAUCCCUCUAAUAUCUACCAAUCUGUUUCCCUGGGUGACAAACCUCGGCAAUAUCCCUCUAAUAUCUACCAAUCUGUUUCCCUGGGUGACAAACCUCGGCAAUAUCCCUCUAAUAUCUACCAAUCUGUUUCCCUGGGUGACAAACCUCGGCAAUAUCCCUCUAAUAUCUACCAAUCUGUUUCCCUGGGUGACAAACCUCGGCAAUAUCCCUCUAAUAUCUACCAAUCUGUUUCCCUGGGUGACAAACCUCGGCAAUAUCCCUCUAAUAUCUACCAAUCUGUUUCCCUGGGUGACAAACCUCGGCAAUAUCCCUCUAAUAUCUACCAAUCUGUUUCCCUGGGUGACAAACCUCGGCAAUAUCCCUCUAAUAUCUACCAAUCUGUUUCCCUGGGUGACAAAACUCAGCAAUAUCCGUAUCCUGGUGUUGUUGCCCAGAAUACCACGGCAUCUAAAGUGAUUAGCCAGAUUGUUCAAGCUAAUGAAUUGGACCUUGAG
RNAcentral lists this long non-coding RNA (804 nucleotides) under Linum usitatissimum (flax). RNAcentral describes it as "long non-coding RNA (LUSI_LNC002975)". The record is from RNAcentral. Lineage: Eukaryota; Viridiplantae; Streptophyta; Magnoliopsida; Malpighiales; Linaceae.